ACAGCGGCUGCACGUGACCCACAUGGUGCGCAAGCUGCACGUUGGAGAUUUUGUGUGGGUGGCCCAGGAGACCAAUCCUAGAGACCCAGGUGAAGGGCCGUGGACAGGCUGGCACCAGGGGCAGGGCCUGGUGGGUAGGGGAUCGCAAGCUAACGGCUGGCUUGUCAGCAGCAAACCCUGGGGAGUUGGUACUGGAUCACAUUGUGGAGCGCAAGCGACUGGAUGACCUUUGCAGCAGCAUCAUUGACGGCCGCUUCCGGGAGCAGAAGUUCCGGCUGAAGCGCUGUGGUCUGGAGCGCCGGGUAUACCUGGUGGAAGAGCAUGGUUCCGUCCACAACCUCAGCCUUCCUGAGAGCACACUGCUGCAGGCUGUCACCAACACUCAGGUCAUUGAUGGCUUUUUUGUGAAGCGCACAGCAGACAUUAAGGAGUCAGCCGCCUACCUGGCCCUCUUGACGCGGGGCCUGCAGAGACUCUACCAG
Molecule: small RNA, 482 nt
Filed under: Pan troglodytes (chimpanzee)
Lineage: Eukaryota; Metazoa; Chordata; Mammalia; Primates; Hominidae
Description: retained intron
Source: RNAcentral